Molecule: ribosomal RNA, 497 nt
Filed under: uncultured bacterium
Lineage: Bacteria
Description: partial 16S ribosomal RNA
Rfam family: Bacterial small subunit ribosomal RNA
Source: RNAcentral
GACGAACGCUGGCGGCGUGCCUAAUACAUGCAAGUUGAGCGCUGAAGGUUGGUACUUGUACCAACUGGAUGAGCAGCGAACGGGUGAGUACCGCGUGGGGAAUCUGCCUUUGAGCGGGGGACAACAUUUGGAAACGAAUGCUAAUACCGCAUAAAAACUUUAAACACAAGUUUUAAGUUUGAAAGAUGCAAUUGCAUCACUCAAAGAUGAUCCCGCGUUGUAUUAGCUAGUUGGUGAGGUAAAGGCUCACCAAGGCGAUGAUACAUAGCCGACCUGAGAGGGUGAUCGGCCACAUUGGGACUGAGACACGGCCCAAACUCCUACGGGAGGCAGCAGUAGGGAAUCUUCGGCAAUGGACGAAAGUCUGACCGAGCAACGCCGCGUGAGUGAAGAAGGUUUUCGGAUCGUAAAACUCUGUUGGUAGAGAAGAACGUUGGUGAGAGUGGAAAGCUCAUCAAGUGACGGUAACUACACAGAAAGGGACGGCUAACUACGUG